Molecule: long non-coding RNA, 2886 nt
Filed under: Sorghum bicolor (sorghum)
Lineage: Eukaryota; Viridiplantae; Streptophyta; Magnoliopsida; Poales; Poaceae
Description: long non-coding RNA (SBIC_LNC014451)
Source: RNAcentral
CAACACCUUCCCAAUUGGCUCCCCUGGCUGGCCUUGUGGCUGGGGCGCGUCCCCUAGCUGCGGGUAUAGCUGCCGGUGGCGCGGCCGCCUCCUCCGCGCUAUAGGCCGACGAGGGAGAACCUCAAGCCAAUAUGUGUCGACAUCGAGGUGGACGGCCAGCGCUACAGAGACACUUUCACCUGGAACCCGCAAGGUACCUGACCUCAUCCGCUCCUCACUUCAUUCAUCUCCGGUUCGCGUCACGUUCUCGCUCGCUGUGUGGAUUGAUUCGCUUCUUCCUUGCGGCUAGCCAGCAGAUCCCAACUCAGGAGAUCAUUAGCUUGGCCAAGUAGAUGGCCAAGGACCUCAAGCCGCCAUCCAAUUUUGUCCCAAGAUGUCAGAAAAUGCUGACAUCACAUUUAUGCAGUUGUGCCUAUCUAAUUGAGCUGCUGACCGUAUAGAGGUUGGGAUCUGGACACACAGAGGUUGAGUGCACAUCCAAUUUGUGACAGCAGAAACUUCAAUUCGUGGUAUUUUAUGUAUCUACUGUUGUAUAUACUUACCUUUUCAAGUUCCUCCUAAAAUACCACGAAUUGAUAAAUGUAUUGAUAAAAUACCACGAAUUCGCAUGGAUAAUACUACGUUUUUAUGAAAAAAAACUUGUAUAAAAACUGAGACAAACUGUUUAAAAACUGAGACAAACUGUUAUACUCACGGUAUAAAUGUGUGUGGCUUGUGGUCUAUUCUAUGCAGACAUAUACUGUAGGAUGAGAAAUCCACUUAAGUACCUGUAUCAAGAUUCACGAUCAGCAAUAUAUAGAAAUAGUUAAACCAUAUGUAUUUGUUAUCUCUUAUUUAUUAGCGCCUUUUGUUCAGUAGACAUUGCAGCCCUUCGUGUUCUAUCUAGCUCGCGCUUACGCUCUUUUGGACACGUGACAAUGUCAUUGAUGGGACUGGAUGUAUUGACAACACCUAUAUAUAAUAAAAAAAGUAUGAUUUCCAAUAAAUUAUAGAGGUACAUUAAUUCCGUGUUACAUUGUCAUGAAUGACAAUUGGGUUGGCCACUCUAUUUUUUCUUCUCAAAUAGAUAACAUUAAUAAAAAAAUAAUGUACUUGGGUUUAGAUCAGGUGAUGCAACAGUCAAGUCAAGCAUGCCACUUUGAUCUACACAUCUAUCGGAGUAAUUAUCUACAUAUGUAUAAUAAUAUUAAAUUAACCUUAGCCUUACCAUCAUACAAACACAAGAACAAAAUAAUAAUUAAUCAGUAAAAAAAAGCAAAAUGGUACAUGUGUUUUCUUUAUCACUCGGCAUAGGUUUAUAUGAAUUGUAUCGAUGUAGCCAGUCACUAUCUUCAUAGCCAUUGGUGUUUUCCGUGGAUGAUUUAAAUCCAUCUGGUACAACAUAAUUAUAUUCUAAAUAAGCAAACAAAUGACUAAUACAAGUAGGUGAUAUACAAUACUAUAUGUCUCACAUAAACGAAAAAAUGGUAAUACAAAAUUCAAAAACGGAAAAUUAGAAUACGGUGGACCUCUAGACCCAGCAGCUAGUGAAGUUUCUGCCUUUUUUGAUGAUAUUUUUCUCUACGUUUUUUAUUUUUUUCAUCCCUUUGUUCUUGAGUCAUUGUUGCAUGUCUUGCCUUUUCUCUUUCCCUUUUACAUUGCACACGUUCAUCAUCCCUUUUACAUUGCACACGUUCAUCAGCUUGCACUUGUGAAUUUGAUGUUGUAUGAACAGCUGUUUGAAAAUAAGUUCAUACAAAUUUACUUAAUCACCACCAAUAAUACAAGUGAGUGUGUUUGGAAAAAUGUAUGAACAAUUACCUCCAUUAAUGGAGUUUGUCAAGUCUGCAAAUGGCGUACGACCUUCAUUGUUUUGUAUAGGUUUCAUUAUGAACAAUCUCUUCCUGAUAUCAGAUGAUAGAAAUUAGAUGCUCUAGCUUUCCCAAAGAAGGAAUACACAUGAGCUAGACGAAAACACAUAAUUCAACAUGUUUUGAUUUACGGUUAGGACCUUAUGAAGAGCAAUAUGGGUCUAUUUGGAUCUAGAGGGCUAACAGACAUGGUUGAGUAAGAGCAAAAAAAAAUUCAGAAUUGGCAUUGUGACAAGGAGACCAGUUAUCAUUUAAGGUUUUCAAAACCAUUUGAACCUAAGAGGAUCAGAUGGUUGGAACACCUGAACAUGACAACAUGUGUUUUAUGAGGUGAUAACGGUAAUACCUUGGCUCUUUGGAAGUGGUUCAAUUGCCUUUUGUGCUAACCUGACAAGACAAGCUGCCCUUCGACCAACUUGACAACUUCAAGUGCGCAAAGUAGCUUAAAUAACAGCAAUGCAAACUGAAAAUGACAAGAGCUUGAGCAAUGAAGAAUGCGCAAAGUAGCUUUCUCUCUUUGCUUAGAUGAACAAGCUAAUAGUAUCUGGCAAUGGUUUGACAAAGAGAUCAGUCUGGUAAACAAUAUUUUUUUCAGGGAAUAAGGGCUACCAGUCAAGAUCUUUGCAAAAAUGCAACCAAUGCUCCACAUAUAAAAUUAUAGCAGGCAGCGAUACCCAGUUCAAAUUGCAUAGAUUAUAUUGUUAAAACUAAAAGUUGGAUAUAUUAGAGAAUAGAGAAUGUAUGAGCACCGCGAAAAUUAGAUAGCACAUAUUACAUUGUUUAAAAUUGAAAACUGGAUAAUAAGAUAUUUAAAACUGAAAAUUUAGAAAUUCAGACUGCAAGAUGACCAGGAGAUCAACAACACAAAAAGAUAUUACGGUUGAGCGGUUAGGGUUGGCAGAUUUUGCACAGCAGAAAGCAAAAAGAAGCGGGAUGGCUUUGGCCUCACCAGCGUCGUGUUCCUGUGCCGAGCUCGUCACCAGCUUCCUGUGUCGAUUCGUCGUCACCAGCGGUUGAUAGGUGCGUCCGGCAACCG